RNAcentral lists this unclassified non-coding RNA (351 nucleotides) under soil metagenome. RNAcentral describes it as "partial contains 5.8S ribosomal RNA, internal transcribed spacer 2, and large subunit ribosomal RNA". The stretch from base 1 to 120 matches the Rfam family "5.8S ribosomal RNA", at positions 35 to 154 of the family's 154-position model. The record is from RNAcentral.
GAUGAAGAACGUAGCGAAAUGCGAUAAGUAAUGUGAAUUGCAGAAUUCAGUGAAUCAUCGAAUCUUUGAACGCACAUUGCGCCCGCCAGUAUUCUGGCGGGCAUGCCUGUUCGAGCGUCAUUACAACCCUCAGGCCCCCGGGCCUGGCGUUGGGGAUCGGCGGAGCCCCCCGUGGGCACACGCCGUCCCCCAAAUACAGUGGCGGUCCCGCCGCAGCUUCCAUCGCGUAGUAGCUAACACCUCGCGACUGGAGAGCGGCGCGGCCACGCCGUAAAACACCCAACUCUUCUGAAGUUGACCUCGAAUCAGGUAGGAAUACCCGCUGAACUUAAGCAUAUCAAUAAGCGGAGG